RNAcentral lists this ribosomal RNA (184 nucleotides) under uncultured bacterium. RNAcentral's name for it is "partial 16S ribosomal RNA". It matches the Rfam family "Bacterial small subunit ribosomal RNA", at positions 1317 to 1500 of the family's 1533-position model. The record is from RNAcentral.
CACACGAAGUCGGAGUUGCUAGUAAUCCCGAAUCAGCAUGUCGGGGUGAAUGCGUUCCCGGGUCUUGUACACACCGCCCGUCACGCCAUGGGAGUCGGAAGUGCCCAAAGUCGGUGACCUAACCGCAAGGAAGGAGCCGCCUAAGGUAAUGCCGAUGACUGGGGUGAAGUCGUAACAAGGUACC